GAUGAAGAACGUAGCGAAAUGCGAUACGUAAUGUGAAUUGCAGAAUUCAGUGAAUCAUCGAAUCUUUGAACGCAUAUUGCGCUCUCUGGUAUUCCGGAGAGCAUGCUUGUUUGAGUAUCAGUAAACACCUCAACUCCCUUUUCUUUUUUGAAAUUGGAGCUGGACUUGAGUGAUCCCAACGCUUUCUUCCAAGAAAGUGGCGGGUUGCUUGAAAUGCAGGUGCAGCUGAACUUUUCUCUGAGCUAUAAGCAUAUCUAUUUAGUCUGCCUAAAAAACAGAUUAUUACCUUUGCUGCAGCUAACAUAAAGGAGACUAGUUCUUGUGCUGACUGAUGCAGGAUUCACAGAGACAGCUUCGGCUGACUUUGUAAACUCGAUCUCAGAUCAAGUAAGACUACCCGCUGAACUUAAGCAUAUCAAUAAGCGGAGGA
This 430-nucleotide unclassified non-coding RNA is filed under the name soil metagenome. Its description in RNAcentral is "partial contains 5.8S ribosomal RNA, internal transcribed spacer 2, and large subunit ribosomal RNA". The stretch from base 1 to 120 matches the Rfam family "5.8S ribosomal RNA", at positions 35 to 154 of the family's 154-position model. The record is from RNAcentral.